GCAGAGACCGGCGCACGGGUGCGUAACGCGUAUGCAAUCUACCUUUCACAGAGGGAUAGCCCAGAGAAAUUUGGAUUAAUACCUCAUAGUAUAGCAGUUUCGCAUGAAACCACUAUUAAAGUCACAACGGUGAAAGAUGAGCAUGCGUCCCAUUAGCUAGUUGGUAAGGUAACGGCUUACCAAGGCAACGAUGGGUAGGGGUCCUGAGAGGGAGAUCCCCCACACUGGUACUGAGACACGGACCAGACUCCUACGGGAGGCAGCAGUGAGGAAUAUUGGACAAUGGGCGCAAGCCUGAUCCAGCCAUGCCGCGUGCAGGAUGACGGUCCUAUGGAUUGUAAACUGCUUUUAUACGAGAAGAAACCCUCCGACGUGUCGGAGCUUGACGGUAUCGUAAGAAUAAGGAUCGGCUAACUCCGUGCCAGCAGCCGCGGUAAUACGGAGGAUCCAAGCGUUAUCCGGAAUCAUUGGGUUUAAAGGGUCCGUAGGCGGUCAGGUAAGUCAGUGGUGAAAGCCCAUCGCUCAACGGUGGAACGGCCAUUGAUACUGUCUGACUUGAAUUAUUAGGAAGUAACUAGAAUAUGUAGUGUAGCGGUGAAAUGCUUAGAGAUUACAUGGAAUACCAAUUGCGAAGGCAGGUUACUACUAAUGGAUUGACGCUGAUGGAC
This 668-nucleotide ribosomal RNA is filed under the name Flavobacterium sp. B385_2. RNAcentral describes it as "bacterial SSU rRNA". It matches the Rfam family "Bacterial small subunit ribosomal RNA", at positions 88 to 754 of the family's 1533-position model. The record is from RNAcentral. Lineage: Bacteria; Pseudomonadati; Bacteroidota; Flavobacteriia; Flavobacteriales; Flavobacteriaceae.